UACACCUACGGGACGCAGCAGUGAGGAAUAUUGGUCAAUGGGCGGGAGCCUGAACCAGCCAAGUCGCGUGAGGGACGACGGUCCUAUGGAUUGUAAACCUCUUUUGUCGGGGAACAAAGGCGCCCACGGGUGGGCGGAUGAGUGUACCCGAAGAAAAAGCAUCGGCUAACUCCGUGCCAGCAGCCGCGGUAAUACGGAGGAUGCGAGCGUUAUCCGGAUUUAUUGGGUUUAAAAGGUGCGUAGGCGGACGGUCACGUCAGCGGUAAAAAUGCGGUGCUCAACGCCGUACAGCCGUUG
RNAcentral lists this ribosomal RNA (297 nucleotides) under uncultured bacterium. RNAcentral's name for it is "partial 16S ribosomal RNA". It matches the Rfam family "Bacterial small subunit ribosomal RNA", at positions 334 to 629 of the family's 1533-position model. The record is from RNAcentral.